RNAcentral lists this ribosomal RNA (425 nucleotides) under uncultured bacterium. Its description in RNAcentral is "partial 16S ribosomal RNA". It matches the Rfam family "Bacterial small subunit ribosomal RNA", at positions 354 to 796 of the family's 1533-position model. The record is from RNAcentral.
GUGGGGAAUAUUGCACAAUGGGCGAAAGCCUGAUGCAGCGACGCCGCGUGAGCGAUGAAGUAUUUCGGUACGUAAAGCUCUAUCAGCAGGGAAGAUAAUGACGGUACCUGACUAAGAAGCACCGGCUAAAUACGUGCCAGCAGCCGCGGUAAUACGUAUGGUGCAAGCGUUACCCGGAUUUACUGGGUGUAAAGUGAGCGUAGGCGGCGUGGUAAGUCAGAAGUGAAAGCCCCGGGCUCAACCCCGGGACUGCUUUUGAAACUAUCAUGCUAGAGUGUCGGAGAGGUAAGUGGAAUUACUAGUGUAGCGGUGACAUGCGUAGAUAUUAGGAGGAACACCAGUGGCGAAGGCGGCUUACUGGACGAUAACUGACGCUGAGGCUCGAAAGCGUGGGGAGCAAACAGGAUUAGAUACCCUAGUAGUCC